RNAcentral lists this unclassified non-coding RNA (389 nucleotides) under Hevea brasiliensis (rubber tree). Lineage: Eukaryota; Viridiplantae; Streptophyta; Magnoliopsida; Malpighiales; Euphorbiaceae. The record is from RNAcentral.
UAACUACCCCACGAUAAGAAGGAUAUCGUAGUUCUCCAUUUGGACCAAGUCCCAUCGUGAUGCCAGUGAUUGUGGAACCCAUUAAAUGCGAGAAUGAAGACUUGAAGCUCUUGCAAAAUUCCUGGUAAACUUGGACUGCUGUCUUACCAUUAAGGACAGGAAGAUCAUCAACAGCCAAUGACAAGCACUCUCUGAAAUGAUGCCCUGACCUAUCGGCAAAGAAAAUACCAGUUUCUGAUUCACCAAUACGGGAUACCCACUCAGGGAGUGGGAUUUUAAGUUCUUCAUUAGCAUGGAAGCAGAGUGAGACAUGAAGCUUGAGACCUGCAUCCUGAACCAUCUCUGCAAGAGUAAGGUAGCCUUCCCACUUGUACUUGCCCAUCGCUUCC